GAUGAACGCUGGCGGCGUGCCUAAUACAUGCAAGUCGAGCGAACGGACGAGAAGUUUGCUUCUCUGAUGUUAGCGGCGGACGGGUGAGUAACACGUGGAGAACCUACCUAUAAGACUGGGACAACUUCGGGAAACCGGAGCUAAUACCGGAUGAUAUUUUGAACCGCACAGUUCAAAAGUGAAAGACGGUCUUGCUGUCACUUAUAGAUGGAUCCGCGCUGCAUUAGCUAGUUGGUAAGGUAGCGGCUUACCAAGGCAACGAUGCAUAGCCGACCUGAGAGGAUGGUCGGCCACACUGGCACUGAGGCACGGUCCAGACUCCUACGGGAGGCAACAGUAGGGAAUCUUCCGCAAUGGGCGAGAGCCUGACGGAGCAACACCGCGUGAGUGAUGAAGGUCUUCGGAUCGUUGAGCUCUGUUGUUAGGGAAGAACAUAUGUGUAAGUCACUGUGCACAACUUGACGGUACCUAAUCAGAAAGCCACGGCUAACUACGUG
This 497-nucleotide ribosomal RNA is filed under the name uncultured bacterium. RNAcentral's name for it is "partial 16S ribosomal RNA". It matches the Rfam family "Bacterial small subunit ribosomal RNA", at positions 28 to 507 of the family's 1533-position model. The record is from RNAcentral.